GACGAACGCUGGCGGCGUGCUUAACACAUGCAAGUCGUACGGUAAGGCCCUUUCGGGGGUACCCGAGUGGCGAACGGGUGAGUAACACGUGAGUAACCUGCCCACAACUUUGGGAUAACGCUAGGAAACUGGUGCUAAUACUGGAUAUGUGCUCCUGCUGCAUGGUGGGGGUUGGAAAGCUCCGGCGGUUGUGGAUGGACUCGCGGCCUAUCAGCUUGUUGGUGGGGUAGUGGCCUACCAAGGCGGCGACGGGUAGCCGGCCUGAGAGGGUGACCGGCCACAUUGGGACUGAGAUACGGCCCAGACUCCUACGGGAGGCAGCAGUGGGGAAUAGUGCACAAUGGGAGAAAGCCUGAUGCAGCAACGCCGCGUGCGGGAUGACGGCCUUCGGGUUGGAAACCGCUUUCAGCAGGGACGAAGCUUUUUGUGACGGUACCUGCAGAAGAAGCACCGGCUAACUACGUG
RNAcentral lists this ribosomal RNA (465 nucleotides) under uncultured bacterium. RNAcentral describes it as "partial 16S ribosomal RNA". It matches the Rfam family "Bacterial small subunit ribosomal RNA", at positions 28 to 507 of the family's 1533-position model. The record is from RNAcentral.